AAAGUCAAAUAGUACGUGAAAUUGUUGAAAGGGAAACGAUUGAAGUCAGUCAUACCGAUGGGUAAUCAGCCUUUUGAGUGCAGUUUUUGUGGCUAAUGGAGAGACUUCAUGGUCGCAUAGCGGUGCUUUUUGGGUGUAUUUGCUCGUAUGGUAGGUUAACAUCAAUUUUGGUCGUCAUAAAAUGACGGGAGGAAUGUAGCUUCAAUUUUUUUGAAGUGUUUUAUAGCCUCUGGUAGAUGUGAUGACUGGGAUUGAGGAUUGCAACGAAUGCCCCUUGGCUACUCGUCUGAUCUCUGAUUGUCGCUCUGGGGCCGAAAGCUUGCUUACGGUAUCAGAGUUUUGGGGGUCAAAAGGUUAGAACGGGUUAAAUUCGUUAAGGAUGUUGACGUAAUGGCUUUAAACGA
Molecule: unclassified non-coding RNA, 404 nt
Filed under: uncultured Glomeromycotina
Lineage: Eukaryota; Fungi; Glomeromycota
Description: sequence contains 28S rRNA gene
Source: RNAcentral